RNAcentral lists this small RNA (811 nucleotides) under Pan troglodytes (chimpanzee). RNAcentral describes it as "retained intron". The record is from RNAcentral. Lineage: Eukaryota; Metazoa; Chordata; Mammalia; Primates; Hominidae.
UAGUCCUCUCCCUCCCGAGAGCUCUGCUUUUACGGUUUCUGGAUCGCUUCCUCAUGGUGGUCGCGCUGGGUCGGCUCCCUAGGUCCUGGGAUACUCCCAUCUCCCCCCGCCCGCGGCCGGACCUUUGCCUCUGUCUCUAGACUCCCCCCGCCCUGGUCAGCAGGGAUAACCCUCACCCCGUUCCUAAUUUGCCAGUCUGGGUCUGUCUGCCCUGGUCUCGGAGCGGGUUUUGGGGUUCGGUCCUUCCAUCAUCCGUUCGCCCGCCCCGCAGUGCUGCUCCUGCCUCUGGCACCUGCCGCAGCCCAGGAUUCGACUCAGGCCUCCACUCCAGGCAGCCCUCUCUCUCCCACCGAAUACGAACGCUUCUUCGCACUGCUGACUCCAACCUGGAAGGCAGAGACUACCUGCCGUCUCCGUGCAACCCACGGCUGCCGGAAUCCCACACUCGUCCAGCUGGACCAAUAUGAAAACCACGGCUUAGUGCCCGAUGGUGCUGUCUGCUCCAACCUCCCUUAUGCCUCCUGGUUUGAGUCUUUCUGCCAGUUUACUCACUACCGUUGCUCCAACCACGUCUACUAUGCCAAGAGAGUCCUGUGUUCCCAGCCAGUCUCUAUUCUCUCACCUAACACUCUCAAGGAGAUAGAAGCUUCAGCUGAAGUCUCACCCACCACGAUGACCUCCCCCAUCUCACCCCACUUCACAGUGACGGAACGCCAGACCUUCCAGCCCUGGCCUGAGAGGCUCAGCAACAACGUGGAAGAGCUCCUACAAUCCUCCUUGUCCCUGGGAGGCCAGGAGCAAGCGCCAGAGC